Long non-coding RNA from Carassius auratus (goldfish), 472 nucleotides. RefSeq lists it as uncharacterized. Lineage: Eukaryota; Metazoa; Chordata; Actinopteri; Cypriniformes; Cyprinidae. The transcript has 3 exons. The record is from RefSeq and is a predicted model, not a curated record.
AGUGGGCGACUUUCCGUCACAUUCAGCAGUUCAUGUUGAAGUCGUGACCAGAAAACAGUAAAACUCAUCUGAACACACAUCGAGAGCUUCAGAAGAACUGAAUCCACUAACAACAGAGAAGAUCACUGAAGAAGAGAGAAGAAUGAAGAUCAUCUGGACUUUCACUCUGCUGAUGAUUCCUGGUGUGUUGAGCUCCAUCAGUGUGACAGGAUAUUCAGGAGGAGGAGUCAGCAUCACAUGCAGAUAUGAUCGAGGAUAUACAGACAAGAACAAGUAUUUUUGUAAAGGACAGUGGUCAGUGUGCACAGACCGAAUCAGGAUUAAUACUAAAAAUACAUUUACUACUGUGGGACUGAUAUUUAUGGAAAAGUAGAUUCCUACACUGAAGUGAAGCUGAAUGUUGUAACAGGGAGGAAGCAGAAUAUGCAAGAGAGUGUGAAAGAAGAGCAGAAGAGAGAGAGGAGAAGAUGUU